RNAcentral lists this unclassified non-coding RNA (346 nucleotides) under Hevea brasiliensis (rubber tree). The record is from RNAcentral. Lineage: Eukaryota; Viridiplantae; Streptophyta; Magnoliopsida; Malpighiales; Euphorbiaceae.
GCUCGAGACCCAGUACUACUUCGUCGUAACUCAAACUGUUUGGGCGUCGCCGCCGGAAACCCCUGAAAAAUUACUCAGAAAUCAGCGACGAUGGGUGGUGACCGGUGUAGAAGCACGAGUAGCAGUAGCAGCAGCAGUGAAGAGGAUGGAGAUGCUGAUUGGAGAGCCGCCAUAGAUUCUGUUGCUGCUACAACUACAUUUGGCAAAACUACCGCCAAAAUUCAUUCAUCAGCUACUGCUACUAACGGAGAAUCUAUUGCCCAUCCAUUCCAAGAAGAUGAAAUAGAUACUAUCCAACCCCAGAAGCUCAAACAUUAUCAAAUAAAGGGCCUGAAGACUUUGGAAG